GUAGUUUUGUGUGAGCGUAUGUUUGUGGUGUAGGCAAGGGUUCGAACUCUGCACAGGGAACCCUUUGAUUUUAUUUUUUGUUUUUUUUAAAGAUGGACUGUAAAGUCCAAAAAGGGGCUGCAAUAAUUGAAAGAGAGAAGCUUCUUUUCCUUUUCACAUUUUUUUUCUCUUCUCAUUUCUUCACCCUCACUCAGAAGCCAUUCAUCCCUGGAAUCCGUUUAGUGAGAGUAAAUUUAAGGUUUUGAUGGUGCGUGCUUUGUGAGGGAGGAAUGAAUUCAGGAUGGUAGCUGUGUGAACAUGUUGCCUUGUUGGAAUGUGGACUCCAGUGGUUUUGUGAUGGAUGGGUGAGGAUAUGUAAGUCUCACCUUUAUCCCUGAUUUGUGAUGCAUGUGUGAAUGAACAUGUAUAUGUAUUGCUCUUGGUUGGCAUGAGAUAUAGAUUUGAAAUUUAGUUUAACACUAAAUACCUAGGUAAAUGAUUGCAAUUGAUUCUAGAUAAUGUGUUGGAGUUGGUUAUGUUACAUAACUAAGUUCUAUGUUUAUUUGGUCUACUUAGGUAAUUUUAUUAUGUUGCUCUGUUAUGAAAUGAUGAAUUAAGUAUGAG
Molecule: small RNA, 603 nt
Filed under: Vigna angularis var. angularis
Lineage: Eukaryota; Viridiplantae; Streptophyta; Magnoliopsida; Fabales; Fabaceae
Description: Non-protein coding transcript
Source: RNAcentral